CAGUCGGGAGGGCUGCAUAUCUGCGGUCCGUCGGGCAAGAUAGCCCGCUCGGCUG
Molecule: non-coding RNA, 55 nt
Filed under: unclassified sequences
Description: DUF3800-VI RNA
Rfam family: DUF3800-VI RNA
About the family: Actinobacteria, Planctomycetes, Proteobacteria, Spirochaetes. Nearby to DUF3800
Source: RNAcentral